This 651-nucleotide ribosomal RNA is filed under the name Salmonella enterica. Its description in RNAcentral is "partial 23S ribosomal RNA". It matches the Rfam family "Bacterial large subunit ribosomal RNA", at positions 2152 to 2802 of the family's 2925-position model. Lineage: Bacteria; Pseudomonadati; Pseudomonadota; Gammaproteobacteria; Enterobacterales; Enterobacteriaceae. RNAcentral also lists the same sequence under 1 other name. The record is from RNAcentral.
AGGCUUUGAAGCGUGGACGCCAGUCUGCGUGGAGCCGACCUUGAAAUACCACCCUUUAAUGUUUGAUGUUCUAACGUGGACCCGUGAUCCGGGUUGCGGACAGUGUCUGGUGGGUAGUUUGACUGGGGCGGUCUCCUCCUAAAGAGUAACGGAGGAGCACGAAGGUUGGCUAAUCCUGGUCGGACAUCAGGAGGUUAGUGCAAUGGCAUAAGCCAGCUUGACUGCGAGCGUGACGGCGCGAGCAGGUGCGAAAGCAGGUCAUAGUGAUCCGGUGGUUCUGAAUGGAAGGGCCAUCGCUCAACGGAUAAAAGGUACUCCGGGGAUAACAGGCUGAUACCGCCCAAGAGUUCAUAUCGACGGCGGUGUUUGGCACCUCGAUGUCGGCUCAUCACAUCCUGGGGCUGAAGUAGGUCCCAAGGGUAUGGCUGUUCGCCAUUUAAAGUGGUACGCGAGCUGGGUUUAGAACGUCGUGAGACAGUUCGGUCCCUAUCUGCCGUGGGCGCUGGAGAACUGAGGGGGGCUGCUCCUAGUACGAGAGGACCGGAGUGGACGCAUCACUGGUGUUCGGGUUGUCAUGCCAAUGGCACUGCCCGGUAGCUAAAUGCGGAAGAGAUAAGUGCUGAAAGCAUCUAAGCACGAAACUUGCCCCGA